CAAAAAGUCCUGUUCCACCUUUGACGACCUUACCGACCACUAGACAGGCAGAAGGAGAGCAUAACUUGUCUUGGGAUCCUGUGGAGAAGAGGAAAGAGACCUCAGUGAGGACUCUAUUCGACAAACAGAAGGUUGAUGCCUUCUGUGUUAAGCAACUGUUGUUUCUCGCCAUGCUGACUGGUGACCUCGCUGAGCAGGCAGCGGGAAAUACCUUUGAUCUCAUGCACGAUGGCACUCUGGGCAUGAGAUGCCACCAGCGAAGUCAAGUCGAGGCGUACAUUGCUGAGAGGUAAGGCCAGCGUGACCUAGCAACGUAAAGAUGAGGGGAUGAUUAUCAAGGGUUUACAAACUCACUCAAGCACCAUCUACAAGUAAAUGAUCCAUCAUAUUGUUUCCAAGUAUGAAGUGAAGCUUAUAAAUAAGAACAUGAACAUUUUUCCAGAACCAUAGGGGUAUAGAAUCAUUUACAGUCAUUCACAUUUAAGUGCCAAUAAGUACAGUAACAGUUAAAGCUUGUUCAUACUUUUCCGCAUGUGUACUAGCGGAUAUGUCUGCUCAAACAUUUGAAGCGUUUGAUGUCAUUGUGCGCUUCCGCGAAUGAACGCCUGCUGCACUCCAAAUUUGUGUCUGCGCAGCGGCGUACAUGCAGCACUGGGCACACUGCACAUGAUCGAUUUGCUAGUGUCCACUUUAAAUACCAACAUGUAGGCUUUCGACGAGCGUUGGGGUAGUUUGCAAACCCUACAGACUAUUUACAAGUAAAUAAAACGUACAUACAUGUAAAUCCAUGCGUGUAUGUAUGAGGGGGAGUUAUGGACUUUAUUCAGAAUUACCAUGCAUAAACAUGUGAAACCAUGUAUAUACAUAUGAAACCAAAGUAAUUCAUAUAGUACAACGAAAAUUGCACACACUUACAAGAGAAAGCAUUGCACUAUUUAAGACUCUCAUAUAAACAACUGAAAAUGUAUUCAUUCACACAACUGAAAAGCUCUCACAAACACUAGUGAAACCUUUCACAAAUACUACUGAACUGCUUUCACACACACUAGUAAAAGGUGCUUACAUACACGACCGAAAAUGUCAUCUUUGCUAGUGUGUGUGAAUGCUUUUCAAUAAUGUGUUAAAAUUUUAACUAGUUUUUGUGAGAGAUUGUCAGUUGUUUGUAUAUGCAUGGUAAUUUAUCAUUUCUGAAUAAAGUCCCUAACGGCCUCAAUGACCCUGACUGCCACUUCAAUGCCAUCCGUGUUUGCCAUGGCAUGGAUCUCAUUGGAAUGCAGUCGGUCCCUAAUGGCCCCUUGUGUGUGUGUGUGUGUGUGUGUGUGUGUAGACUUGUCUCAAAUUGAAAAUUUCAUGCCAGCCAGCUCACCAAAACUGGCAACCUUGAGUUGGCUCUGAAUUUUUUAAAACAGAGAAAUGGAUACAAACCUCACUGCUGUGGUACGACUGCAGGGAAUAUCACAAUGAUGAUAAUAAUAAUGACAAUAAUAAUAAUAAUAAUAAUAAUAAAGAAUCCAAAUAAUAAUACAUUAAGAAUAUAAAUACAAUGCGUGCAAAGUACACAGCUUGACCAGAGAACUAUAAACAUUUCCGUGUACACAUACGCACAGUGGGUACGUGAGUGUUGUGCUUGUGUGGAGUAGUAUGAACCAACCUUUAGGUAUUUUUGUAAAAUCAGUCACCCUGUUUCAUGUAUGACAAACCAGCCAUCUUUGAAUUUAUGAAAAGGUGAGUAUUUACAUAUGUGUACGUAUGUGCUUUCAGGGAGAACCUAUAGACCAGACAAUCAGGAGCUAAGCUGCUUACUUACUAUAAAUUAAAAUAAAAGUCAUGCUCACCUCACACCAGAGGUCACUUUGACUGUCAUAUCUGUAACUUUCAAUGGCAGUGCUAAGAUCCAGCACCCUGUUCACCCGGAGCUGGUUCUGGUCCUCCGGCUGGGUCGGGUUUGGAGUGGCAGCUGGACUCCCCGGGAGCUGCUCAUCAUCAUCAUUCUCUUCUGCAUUGGGGGUUGAUUCCUCUUUUUCCUCAAACAAGUCUCCAUCAUUUUCCUCCCCCUCACUUUCAUAAUCCACCUACAAGCGUCAGCAUCCCCCUCAUCAGCCUCUGCAUCCGCUGCAUUACCGAUGUCUUCCAUCUCAGUGUCUCCGCCAUCCUACACAUAGGACGGUACCAAGUCAUGUCAGUUUGAGUGUACCUCUGUCUAGUGGUCAUUAAGGUCGUCAAAAGGAAAAAGGGACUUUUCGACCUGAAGCAACCUUUUGCAAGUCUGAUUUUCCUUGCCCAAUGAGGCCCAACGACAGGAAUGAAGUGCUAACCUUGAUCUAGGUUUUUCAGUUGUCACUGUGUAUUGUCUGUUCCCAUUUGCUGCUGUAAUGCCUGAUUUUGAUGGAUAGAUCGAUGGACAGAUGGAUAGAAGGAUUGAGUAUCCAUCCAUCCCCCCAAAGUUUCUGCCUUGUGUCUGGAAGGUCACAUUUCAUGUCACGUGGUACUCGAAAGUCAAAUCACCACUGGGCCCUUAAGCGAGGUCCUUAAGCCCACCUGCUCUUGAGCAAUGGCUGACCCAGUGCCCUGACCCCACCCCUUUGCUCUCACCUGUAUGUCUCACAAGAGAACAGGAUGGAAUAUGGGAAGACUGCAAUUUUGUGGUACAUUCUGCCUAUAUAAUAACAAAGGCAUUCUGUUCUUAUGCAUUCCAUUAACAAACCUGAGUCCCACCGCC
Molecule: long non-coding RNA, 2719 nt
Organism: Brienomyrus brachyistius
Lineage: Eukaryota; Metazoa; Chordata; Actinopteri; Osteoglossiformes; Mormyridae
Exons: 4
Source: RefSeq, a predicted model, not a curated record